CCAACCGCCGGGCUAUAAUCUAUGAAACUGAGCCCGGACCCAGCCAAUCAGUUAGCUGCUCCUAACAGGUCUAACUGGCUCUGGACAGCUGAAGGGCUGUGCUGGAGCACAGCAGAGGAGACACUCCACAGCACUGUGCCUGUCCACACUCACUGUGCCUGGAGACGGGGGUCGGGGGUGCUGGGGGAGGGGGGGACGACAGGUGAGAUCUGGCACAAGCUGGAGCGA
This 228-nucleotide long non-coding RNA is filed under the name Meriones unguiculatus (Mongolian gerbil). Its description in RNAcentral is "Prostate androgen-regulated transcript 1 conserved region 2 (ENSMUGG00000000671.1)". It matches the Rfam family "Prostate androgen-regulated transcript 1 conserved region 2". Lineage: Eukaryota; Metazoa; Chordata; Mammalia; Rodentia; Muridae. The record is from RNAcentral.